Long non-coding RNA from Molossus molossus (Pallas's mastiff bat), 321 nucleotides. RefSeq lists it as uncharacterized. The transcript has 4 exons. NCBI's taxonomy places the organism in Eukaryota, Metazoa, Chordata, Mammalia, Chiroptera, Molossidae. The record is from RefSeq and is a predicted model, not a curated record.
AGGUGGCCCACAAAAUGUCCUCCUGGAAAAAACGUGACCUCACUCCAUAUCAUCAGUAAGUGAUGAGACGUCUGUAAGCACCUGCACCCUGAUUCAGCUGCUCAAACAUGCCACAGGACACCAUGGCUUCCACCCUCCUACUUUCAGCAGAAGUCAUGUGAAACUAAAGUUGAGACAUCAUAAGCCUGCAGACUCACCAGGUUGCAGCUCUCCAGGGGUCCCAGAUGUCAGUCUGAAGUGUUUACUGGGGUCCCCCUUUUGGUGACUUCGGAACUCCGUUUUGUACUCUACUACACCAAGGGUUGGACUGCUAAGAAAUCU